RNAcentral lists this ribosomal RNA (59 nucleotides) under Macropsychanthus comosus. RNAcentral describes it as "partial large subunit ribosomal RNA". Lineage: Eukaryota; Viridiplantae; Streptophyta; Magnoliopsida; Fabales; Fabaceae. The record is from RNAcentral.
UGCUCAUAUCGAGACCUCAGGUCAGGCGGGGUUACCCGCUGAGUUUAAGCAUAUCAAUA